AAUUUUUAUCUUAAAAUUUUAAAUUAGAAUUUUAAUUAUAUUAUUUAAAAUAAUAAUAAAAAAAAAAAUUUUUAUUAAAAAUUUUUAAAAAAAAAUAAUUAUUUUAUAAAAAAUUAGUAUAGUAAUAGAAUGAUGAAAUAAUUUAAAAAUUUAAGUUUUUAAAAGUAAAUUUAAUUUAUUGUAUCUUGUGUAUCAGAGAUUAUUAAUAAUAAAAUUUAUAUAAAUUUUUUUCGAAAUUUAAAGAGUUAAUUAAUUUAUUUUAGUUAUUGUUUUAUAAAUAUUAAUAAUAAUUAAUUAGUAAUGAAAUGUUAAUCGAUUUAAAUAAUAUCUAAUUUUUAAAGAAAUAAAUUUAAUUUAACUAUUAUAAUUAAAAAUUUAGAUUUAUAAAAAUUUAAUUUUAUUAAAAAUAGUAAUAUCAAAUGGGAUAAGCUUUUUGUUAUAAAUUUAAAUAAAAAAUUGAAUUAAUAAUAAAAAAUAUAAAAAUAAAAUUAUUUAUUAAUUAUAUUUUGUUAUAAAAAUUUUUAUUUUCUCUUAUAUUUUAAUAUAUAAAAAUAUUAAAAAUUUUAUUUAAAUAAGAAUUUUAUUUAUUUUUAAUUCUGUAAUAAUGAUAAUAUUAGUAUAAUUUAAAUAAUAAAUAAUUUUAUUAAAAAUUUAAUAUUAUUUUUAAGAAUUCGGCAAAAUUUAUGUAUUCGCUUGUUUAACAAAAACAUGUCUUUUUGAUAAAUAAUUUAAAGUCUAAUCUGCCCCCUGAAAUUAUUUUAAAGGGCUGCGGUAUUUUAACCGUACAAAGGUAGCAUAAUAAUUAGGUUUUUGAUUGAAAUCUAGAAUGAAUGAUUGGACGAGAUACAAGCUGUUUUAAAAUAAUUUAUUAAAACUUAAUUUUUUAGUCAAAAAGCUAAAAUUUUAUUAAAAGACGAGAAGACCCUAUAAAUCUUUAUAGUAAAUUUAUUUUAAUAAAUUAUUUAAUUAAAAUUAAUAAUUUAAUAAUUAAAACUAUUUUAUUGGGGUGAUAAAAAAAUUUAAUAAACUUUUUUAAUUUAAUUUCUUAAAUUAUAGAUUUUAAAAUUUAUGAUCUAUUAAUAAUAAUUCAAAGAAUAAGAUACUUUAGGGAUAACAGCGUAAUUUUAAUUUUAAGUUCUUAUUAAAAUUAAAGAUUGCGACCUCGAUGUUGGAUUAAAAUUUAAUUUAAAUGCAAAAAUUUAAAAAUUAAGUCUGUUCGACUUUUAAAAUUUUACAUGAUCUGAGUUCAAACCGGUGUAAGCCAGGUUGGUUUCUAUCUUUAAUAAAAAUAAAUUUUUUAGUACGAAAGGAUCGAAAAUUUUAAAUGAAUUUAUAGUAAAUAAUAUGAAAAAAAUUAAUAUAUUUAAUAUUUAAUU
Molecule: ribosomal RNA, 1376 nt
Filed under: Limnephilus decipiens
Lineage: Eukaryota; Metazoa; Arthropoda; Insecta; Trichoptera; Limnephilidae
Description: 16S ribosomal RNA
Source: RNAcentral